AGAGCGAACGCUGGCGGCGUGCUUAACACAUGCAAGUCGAGCGGAAAGGCCCUUCGGGGUACUCGAGCGGCGAACGGGUGAGUAACACGUGAGCAACCUGCCCUUAGCUUCGGGAUAGCUCCGGGAAACCGGAAUUAAUACCGGAUAUGACUAUGGCCGACAUCAGCCAUGGUGGAAAGUUUUUCGGCUAGGGAUGGACUCGCGGCCUAUCAGCUAGUUGGCGAGGUAACGGCUCACCAAGGCGACGACGGGUAGCCGGCCUGAGAGGGCGACCGGCCACACUGGGACUGAGACACGGCCCAGACUCCUACGGGAGGCAGCAGUGGGGAAUAUUGCGCAAUGGGCGAAAGCCUGACGCAGCGACGCCGCGUGGGGAUGAAUGCCUUCGGGUUGUAACCCUUUCAGCAGGGACGAAGCGAAAGUGACGGUACCUGCAGAAGAAGCGCCGGCUAACUACGUGCCAGCAGCCGC
This 471-nucleotide ribosomal RNA is filed under the name uncultured bacterium. RNAcentral describes it as "SSU rRNA". It matches the Rfam family "Bacterial small subunit ribosomal RNA", at positions 26 to 518 of the family's 1533-position model. The record is from RNAcentral.